RNAcentral lists this long non-coding RNA (398 nucleotides) under Mytilus galloprovincialis (Mediterranean mussel). Lineage: Eukaryota; Metazoa; Mollusca; Bivalvia; Mytilida; Mytilidae. The record is from RNAcentral.
AUCGUAUCAAUUGGGAGAUAUAUACCCCGUAUGCAGGUGCUGCUGGAAUUUUGCUACUUAGAAAUGGAAAGUUCACAAUUGAAAAGCUGAAAUCAUCUCUUUUGUCGUAAAGUUUUGUUUUCAACCGACCCUCAUUGUCAAUUUCUAGAUGUAAGUCAAGAUAUGAGGCUGACUUAACUGUAUCUGUAGUAUCCUUUAUCUCUAGUUCGACGGGAUAGAUGCGUUUUUACAUAGUCACCAAAUUUUGAAUUAUUUAGUGUAAAUGUUGAAAAAGACCAACAAACUAGUAUACAACAGGGAAAGAGAAACAGGACAAAUAUAACCAUCAAACACUACUAAACAGAAAUAUUGCCUCACAAGUUGUUACUGUUUUAAAAUCCGGUUGUAAGGAGCACGCA